This is a transfer RNA of Ipomoea nil (Japanese morning glory), 72 nucleotides long. It matches the Rfam family "tRNA". Rfam says of the family: Transfer RNA (tRNA) molecules are approximately 80 nucleotides in length. Their secondary structure includes four short double-helical elements and three loops (D, anti-codon, and T loops). NCBI's taxonomy places the organism in Eukaryota, Viridiplantae, Streptophyta, Magnoliopsida, Solanales, Convolvulaceae. The record is from Rfam.
GCCUUUAUAGCUUAGAGGUAGAGCAUUAGUUUUGUAAACUAAAGGUUUGUAGUUCGAACUUGCAUGGGGGCA